UGGUAGGUGAGAAAUAUCUAUCACAGAGAAGUUUGUCCUAAAUGUGUGUCAAGAUGGAAGUAAGUUAUCUUAAGCAGUCUUGGUAAAGAAAGAUAGAAAAAUUACAGUUCAGAGGAGAUAUUUUCAGCAAAAGUUUCAGGUUUUCCUGUCAAUGGCAGAAGAGGAGGGGUCAAGCACUCUAGUUCAAGGGUAGAGAAAAGCCAUCCAGCUGAACAGAUGGGGAGCAGCUGAAGUGGCAGUGCUGCUGUCAGACAGGUCUCUGGAGCUGGGGAUUGACAAGUCAGGCACUGGCAAUGAUGAAUAGCAAGCAAUGCCUUUUCACACCAUACCAGAAAUAAUGGAUGAAUGUUUUGACCUCUGGAUUUGCAUGAGGUUGGUAAGGUUUUCCUGAAGAUUUCUUCUACUAUAGUUGAUGCACUGAAAAGUUUCCCUGAAUUUUGGAUCCACUAGUUUUUUUUUAAUUCCCCUAGUCAGCUAGAUCCAUUGUAUUGAUGGAUCAUACAGAUUGUUCUGACAGUCUGUCUUUUUCACCUUCUUUUUCUGAAAGCCCAUGUGACUCAUGGAGUGAAUUCAAUGUUUUUGAAACAAAGUUGAUUUUGCAAAAGCACAUGUACUACCACAGAGAGACGCAGAGUCUUAGAAUUAAUUUUUGCAUCAGGAGAUGAUAAGUAGAUACAAUUUGUAUUACGUUUAUUGGGUUGUUAUGAUUGGUGUUUCUUAGAUUCAACACGGCUGUGCAGCAAUGAUCUCACCUUCGAUUAUUUGUCACAGUGUGAACCUGCUACAACUACAUUGAGAAAUCCAAGUGGCCGGUUGCUGUUUAUUUGGAGAAAAUGGGGACCGCUUGUCAGACAAGAGGAGAAUGCCUUUUCCUUCAACUACAAAUGGCCUGAGUGGAAAACCAAGUGGCUGUGCAAUGUGGAGAACCUGGUGAUGGAACAAGCUCUCAGAAAAGUUUCAGGUACUAUUAUAUGUUUGAAUCAUAUUGGAUUAAACAGCAUGUUUCUUGUUAUGUGCUUAUCUCAGUGCACAGCAGGUAAGCCAGUGGAAGAAAACCAUAGAGAUCCCAUAAUGACUUCUUUUUGUUGUUCACCU
Columba livia (rock pigeon) is the source of this 1095-nucleotide long non-coding RNA. RefSeq lists it as uncharacterized. The record is from RefSeq and is a predicted model, not a curated record. The transcript has 4 exons. NCBI's taxonomy places the organism in Eukaryota, Metazoa, Chordata, Aves, Columbiformes, Columbidae.